Molecule: unclassified non-coding RNA, 25 nt
Filed under: Chlamydomonas reinhardtii
Lineage: Eukaryota; Viridiplantae; Chlorophyta; Chlorophyceae; Chlamydomonadales; Chlamydomonadaceae
Description: small RNA Cre_1513
Source: RNAcentral
CUGUCCGAGCGCUUGCGCUCUGCGG